Molecule: small nuclear RNA, 101 nt
Filed under: Cavia aperea (Brazilian guinea pig)
Lineage: Eukaryota; Metazoa; Chordata; Mammalia; Rodentia; Caviidae
Source: RNAcentral
GUACUCAUUUGGCUACAUAUAUACUCAGGGGAAGCUGUACAGAGGUUAGCACGGUCCCUGCAGGAGGAUGACACAAACUUCUUGAAGUAUUCCAAAUGUUU